GCUCUUUUAGCUUAAAUUUAUUAAAGCACAAUACUGAAAAUAUUUAGAUAUCAACUAGAUUUAGAGCA
This 68-nucleotide transfer RNA is filed under the name Thrips hawaiiensis. RNAcentral describes it as "tRNA-Phe". The record is from RNAcentral. Lineage: Eukaryota; Metazoa; Arthropoda; Insecta; Thysanoptera; Thripidae.